Molecule: long non-coding RNA, 2395 nt
Organism: Zea mays
Lineage: Eukaryota; Viridiplantae; Streptophyta; Magnoliopsida; Poales; Poaceae
Exons: 4
Source: RefSeq, a predicted model, not a curated record
UAACUUAUACAAUGUGCAUUAACCACCUAUCAUCUUAUUUGCCAAUUACUGCACAAUGCUGAUAAAUUUCAAUUACUAUACUUCUAGAAAAUAAACAAGGUCCAACGUUGUUUGCUUUCCAUUUCCCUUCUACUCUGAUAUUAUGUGAUUUGGUUUAUUCAUAUUACUGUCCAUAGCAUAUUUGUUGUGCACACAGUUAUAAAUUCGUUUUCUCGACACUGCACAGGCAAGGGGGAAAUCUUCUUAUAGAUCUGUUCCGUCACUGUGACAAUCAUUUGGGAGAGAAACAAGUAAACAACCCUUUUUUCCAUAAAACUCCAUCUGGAAGUGCACGACAGCCACUACAGUUGACUAACGAUGUAACCAAGAUGAUGCAAAAGCAUCAGCUGGAAACACCACAGUUGCUGCUACUGAGUACCAUCCUUAUAUCCUUAUUUCCUAAUUGUUGUGGUGCAUGUACAAGUUUUUUUAAAACGAAUUCCGAAUUGGUUAUUGCUGUUAGAACUCAUCUGAGUGCUACCUUCUCAUAUGCUCCUUUUUUCUCUCUGGCUGUUAUGUUAAAGGACCAGAUACAAGUCAAUCUUCCCUUCAAAUUACAAUUUAAUUAUUUUAUAUCUGGAUUCUGCAAGACACUUCAAAAAAAAUAUAACAACAUGUGGUCCCUGUGUUAUCUACUAGCAUGAGCCAUUGUUCCAUGCAGUUUGGUACAUAGUGGCGCAUAUUUUGUUACAUUUACUUUCUAUAUUCUUAGUAUAUUUAUAGCCUAUAUCCCCAAACUAUAUCAUAUACUUAGCACACACCCAUUAUUAUAAUCCACGCGCGCAUGGCGCGCGCACUUUACUAGUAUAUAACAUUGUUGGCAACAGGAGCUGAUCUCUUUAUUACACGAUGUAUUGGCUUGGUUUCUAAUGUCCACUUUCCCAUCCCUGUUUUCCCCUCCUUCAGGACUUCUUCAGUGAUCUUUUGGUACAUCGCUGCUGAUACAAACAGCCUACCCAGACUGCUUUUGUGAAGGUAUGUGUGUACCUAUAUUGCUUCUUGAGGCUGACUCAUGUGAUUGGCGGUGUUUGGAAGAUACAUUAAAGUUUAAUUCGACAAAUGUCUUUUGCUUAGGGCUCCUAGCUUGGUGUUUCUUUUUCUGUGAUACUUGUGCAUGCGAAGUAGGUGAACUGCUACUUAAAUGGUACAUAUUUAGCUUAAUUACUUACUGGUGGCAUUGCAGAUUAUAUGUUUCUGUCUUAAAGAUACAUUAGUAGGCUGUAGUACUCACACUGCUUCUGUUCUCAUCUGUUCACACACUGCAUCUAUUCACAUCCUGAUUCAGAGGCAUGCAUGAGGUUGUAGUAGGCGAGACCACCCAAAAGCACUCCCAACGCCUGACCACAAGAGCUAGCAGAUAGCAGCCCUACUGUUGGCAAUCCAAUAAUCACAUACGAAGUUUUCCUUGAAAUUUUUUGAGUCUUGAAUUGACUUCUUCCUUAAUUUAUAGUUUCAACUCAAAACGAAUACACUAUUUUUUGUUGAACCACAUUUUUCCUCUGCUCAGUUUGGCAUCAUUAUUGUAUCAUAAUAUUAUCAUAAUUAAUCCAUUCUGGUAAACUGACUCUAGAAAAUUUUCUUGAAUGGAUUCCUAUCUUUUACAGUCUAAGCUACAUUAUGUGCAUGGAAUUUUGCAAUAUACCUUCUGUUUCUUGCUCACAUGAUUGAUGUGAUUUUGAAUUCAUUUAGCACAUUGCUUUCUGAGAAGCCAUUUGCAGUGCAAGGAUGAAACUUGGUCAGAGUGUUUACCAUAUGGAUUGGCAGUGAAACCAAAAAAGAAGGCGUGCUACUGUUCUUCCGUAUUCAUGUCAAUGCAACAACAGGUACAAGUAGUCUUCUUGGGAGCUACCCAGUAGUUUAGUGAGAAAUUGAUAAGCUAUUCUAAAUUAAAUGUAAAUAUGCAUUUCUGACCAUAGUAUGAAGUUGAAAGGUGUUUCUGUUCCUUUCCUGUGUAUAAGAUAAACAUUUUUUCUAACCCUUCUUCCUUAGGUCGCUUAAAUUGAAAUUGAUGUCUACAAAGUGCUUCCCAUUUCAUUAUUAGAUUACUGAUAUAGCUAUGCCUGGUGAGUGGAGAUAAGUGGAGGUGGCACUACCAAUUCCUUAAUGUACCAGGAAUGUUUGGAUUGUUGUAUUCUGACAUUGUUUGGUUCAACAUAUUCAAGUUGGAGUGUCAGGUCUCCAACAAUUAAACAAGAUACGGAAUCUGUGUAAGCAAGAGCAUUCAUACCUUGUUAGCUUCCUUCUCUCUCUCUCAAGAUCGAUCUAGAGACCAACAAGAUCAUGGACUUCUUCAAGUUUGACGUCGAUAACGUGGUCAUGGUGACCGGCGGGAGGAACACCGGGCGUGUAGGAGUGA